CUAACCAUUCCACAGGGUCUUGCCCGAAGCUAAAGUGUUUGAGCCUGUGUAGGUACACGCCUACGUAGAAUAAAAUAAAGUGGCCCAAGCUUGCAUCCAAAAUCCUUCUGUGCAAUGUUGGGAUAAUGUCCAUCAGAGACCAAGGUUACAAAACAUUUGUGUGCUAAUAACUUUCUGGAAAAUUUAAACUUCAGAUUUAUUUUUUUCAAGCUUAGGCUCCCCCUUAAGCCUCCUCCCCCAUUCCAGAUAGAUUAGGAGAGUGGGCAUGAGGAGAGUUUUGGAUUUUUGAUGAAGCCAUUUGUAUUUGAAAACUGGGCACUGAGUUUGCAGAGCAGAAAACGAGAGUUGUCCCUAACGUCUCACUGAGGCAGCAGUGCAUAUAUUCCUAGCUAAACAUGCACUCUACAAAAUGUGUUUUAAGAGAGUCUCUGAGCUUUGUCCAAUUCAUUUUUGCACCCUUACCUCCCUCCACCCUAGUGAUCUAUACUGCUGCUGGGGGAGUGGGGAUCAGGGCAUCAAGGAGCAGCAUAGAUAGGCUUGCCUUCCAUGGAAUAAGGGAUUCCCAUCUUAACAGAUACAGGGAUAUCUGGGGUUGGAAAGCAUUAUCCUCUGGCUGCUUUCUGGACUCCUAAGCCCUUCUUUCAUUGCCCUCUGAAAGCAAUUCCAUAAGAACUAUAUUUUUUCCUGCGCCCUGUACCUGACUGUGGGUAUCUUCAUAGAAGAAUAUUCAGUCAGUUUAGCUAAAUACAUCUGCUCUACAGUCACAACCAGUGCAGUAGAAGUAGAUGUGUUGCUACUGCCUAUUUAUGAUUCAUUUCUUGUAAAAUACCUGUCUCUACCUAGACAGUAGUUGCAACAGCAUUUUUACAAAAAUAUAUUCCCUCCCUCAUCUUAUAUGCACAAUACUGUGGAUUUGGAGCGAUGUAAAUAGUAAUACAGAGAACAGGUAUUGCCUUGGCCGUUUCUCCUUUAAAAGAAAAUAAUACAUUACAAAACCUCAAGACACUGCAACUUCAGAAUUGUCCAGGCUUAAAAUCAGUCCAGAAAUAUAAAGGCUAAAGUUCCAAGAGCAAGGUUAACUCAGCUGGUGCAGAGUUACUGAUGCACAUGAAGUAUGUUCUGUUGUUUCAUUUUUCCCAUUAAAUGUGAAGCUGAAUUUUAUUUAUUUUCAGUGUUUCCCAUAAAAUGUGCUUGAUUGGCACUGCAGCCAAAGCAGUGCAUCUGUUGGCACUUUCACUUUUGUAUUUUUAAAACCCUCCUUUGCUCCUUUUUAAAAAGCAACCUUAAUUCAUUCAUAAAAUAAAGAUUUUUCAUUGGCUAAAACUGGCCAAAAAUUGACUCAGGAUUAAACAAUUCAGAUCUCAGUCGAAUUCAAAAUGCUCAAUAGAAUGGAUAUUGGGAGGAAAAUAUAUAUUUAGAAAAUUGAGUUGGAAAUUCAUUUGUGAAAUGUGUGUGCAAGAUAAUGUAGAAAAUGGAUCCAGUUCAUAAAUGGUUUCAUUUAUUUGUGUGUACAUGUGUGUCUAUGUGAAGUGGAUUGAGUCAGUAAACUGACUGCUAGUAAAUCCUGUUUUAUAGGGCAGGCAGUGACAAAAGACAAUUCCUUUCACUAGAAAGAAGGAUUAUGGAAUUGGUCCAACUCAUGAAAGCAGUAUAAGUAAAUAUUCAUAUGGAGAAAGAACCACUAAUAGCUUGGUGGAGGUGGGGAAUAAUCAGAUAAUAGUAUUUUAAUGACCUAUGAUUACGUUCUUAAUUUCGCCCUUAAUUCUCCCCCCACAUACAUUCCCCAGAAAGCUUCACUCAUCACUAUGCUUUUCUCUCCUAGUUGACUUGUUUUUUUACUGUUAGUGGAAUUUUAAAUGCAAGUCUACAAAACCUGGUUGUUUAACUUGACAGCUUGGAGCUGUCAGCUUGUCUGGGCACCCAUGCUAGGCAACUGGUACAGCUAAUUUUUUUUUUCUGUAGUGUGUGUCAAAUGAUAUGGUCCAUUGGCUGACUUCGGCCUGCUGGUCACGCUCCCCUGGCUUGUACCUGCCUGUGUGCUUGUACCUGCCUGUUACGCACCUGCUUGUUGGUAGUUUACCAGGAGAGAGCAUGAGCCAAAUUCCUUCCUUUUUUCCUACAGACACAAGUGGAUACCAUUUCUUAGCCACUCUUCCCAUGCCCUUGCACUGUGCCUGCUGACCUCAAAGACAGCCAUCAGGAUGCUGAAUGUUUACUUCCUGUGUUCUGAAUUGUUUAUUGUUAAAUAGCUGCCACGUUCCACGCAGAGCCAGCUUGCAGAUGCCUCUAGGAUUUUUAAAUACCCUUUAGCCACCAUCUCUGCCACUGAGAGACACGCCUGUUUGUUGCCUAGGGACUGAGACAGGAUACUGGGCUAGAUGGACCUGUGGUUUGACCCAGAAUAGCAUUUUUUAUGUUCUUAGGAUAAAGGUGUUGGGAACUAUAAAUAGACCUAGACGAAGCAGGAUGUGGGGGAAGACGCUCAGAAUAUACUGUCCUUAAAAAAAAAAAAAAAAAAAAAAGACUAUUAAUAGAACACCUUUAUCCUAAGGCUUUGAUUUGGAGUGGGGAAGAGAGUACACUGUUUUCAGUUCAGUUUUGAUUACCAGCCUGAGGUCUACUCCUUUCUAAUUCCAACAAAAACCUACAUUUGUUAUCCUCAGAAUACAAGUAACUGUAGGGUCUUUCACUGUAUUGUAUGUAAAUGGGUGUCUUCUGUAUAAGGGAUUAUAUAGAUAGAUGCCCUUGUGUUGGUGGCUAGUAUAUGUGGAUUUGCUUAGAUAUAAGUAGCUCAUAGUACUGGCAAAGACCUUCAGGGCUCUUGAGUCUAGCCCCUGCAGUUAUAGGCAGCUGCCACACA
Molecule: long non-coding RNA, 2860 nt
Organism: Gavialis gangeticus (Gharial)
Lineage: Eukaryota; Metazoa; Chordata; Crocodylia; Gavialidae
Exons: 2
Source: RefSeq, a predicted model, not a curated record